RNAcentral lists this ribosomal RNA (400 nucleotides) under uncultured bacterium. RNAcentral describes it as "bacterial SSU rRNA". It matches the Rfam family "Bacterial small subunit ribosomal RNA", at positions 355 to 772 of the family's 1533-position model. The record is from RNAcentral.
UGGGGAAUAUUGCACAAUGGGGGAAACCCUGAUGCAGCGACGCCGCGUGAGUGAAGAAGUAUUUCGGUAUGUAAAGCUCUAUCAGCAGGGAAGAAGGAGACGGUACCUGAGUAAGAAGCCCCGGCUAACUACGUGCCAGCAGCCGCGGUAAUACGUAGGGGGCAAGCGUUGUCCGGAUUUACUGGGUGUAAAGGGAGCGUAGACGGCAGGACAAGUCUGAAGUGAAAGCCCGCUGCUCAACGGCGGGACUGCUUUGGAAACUGUUUAGCUGGAGUACCGGAGAGGCAAGCGGAAUUCCUGGUGUAGCGGUGAAAUGCGUAGAUAUCAGGAAGAACACCAGCGGCGAAGGCGGCUUGCUGGACGGCAACUGACGUUGAGGCUCGAAAGCGUGGGGAGCAAA